UGUGGGAGCGGGCUUGCUCGCGAAGGCGGAGUGUCAGUCAGCACACCUUUAUCUGACACACCACAUUCGCGAGCAAGCCCGCUCCCACA
This 89-nucleotide unclassified non-coding RNA is filed under the name Pseudomonas cedrina. Lineage: Bacteria; Pseudomonadati; Pseudomonadota; Gammaproteobacteria; Pseudomonadales; Pseudomonadaceae. The record is from RNAcentral.